GUGCUCGCUUCGGCAGCACAUAUACUAAAAUUGGAAUGAUACAGAGAAGAUUAGCAUGGCCCCUGCACAAUGGCACGCAUAUUCGUGAAAAAAUAAUAAUAAUA
Suncus etruscus (white-toothed pygmy shrew) is the source of this 104-nucleotide small nuclear RNA. The record is from RefSeq and is a predicted model, not a curated record. Lineage: Eukaryota; Metazoa; Chordata; Mammalia; Eulipotyphla; Soricidae.